Molecule: ribosomal RNA, 439 nt
Filed under: uncultured bacterium
Lineage: Bacteria
Description: partial 16S ribosomal RNA
Rfam family: Bacterial small subunit ribosomal RNA
Source: RNAcentral
CCUACGAGGCAGCAGUGGGGAAUAUUGCACAAUGGGGGAAACCCUGAUGCAGCAACGCCGCGUGAGUGAAGAAGGUUUUCGGAUUGUAAAGCUCUGUUAGCAGGGAAGAGGAAGGACGGUACCUGCAGAGGAAGCCACGGCUAACUACGUGCCAGCAGCCGCGGUAAUACGUAGGUGGCAAGCGUUAUCCGGAUUUACUGGGUGUAAAGGGAGCGUAGACGGCAGCGCAAGUCUGGAGUGAAAUGCCGGGGCCCAACCCCGGAACUGCUCUGGAAACUGUGAAGCUGGAGUGCAGGAGAGGUAAGCGGAAUUCCUGGUGUAGCGGUGAAAUGCGUAGAUAUCAGGAGGAACACCGGCGGCGAAGGCGGCUUACUGGACUGUAACUGACGUUGAGGCUCGAAGGCGUGGGGAGCAAACAGGAUUAGAUACCCGAGUAGUC